AGCCGGCCUUGAAAUACCACCCUUUAAUGUUUGAUGUUCUAACGUGGACCCGUGAUCCGGGUUGCGGACAGUGUCUGGUGGGUAGUUUGACUGGGGCGGUCUCCUCCUAAAGAGUAACGGAGGAGCACGAAGGUUGGCUAAUCCUGGUCGGACAUCAGGAGGUUAGUGCAAUGGCAUAAGCCAGCUUGACUGCGAGCGUGACGGCGCGAGCAGGUGCGAAAGCAGGUCAUAGUGAUCCGGUGGUUCUGAAUGGAAGGGCCAUCGCUCAACGGAUAAAAGGUACUCCGGGGAUAACAGGCUGAUACCGCCCAAGAGUUCAUAUCGACGGCGGUGUUUGGCACCUCGAUGUCGGCUCAUCACAUCCUGGGGCUGAAGUAGGUCCCAAGGGUAUGGCUGUUCGCCAUUUAAAGUGGUACGCGAGCUGGGUUUAGAACGUCGUGAGACAGUUCGGUCCCUAUCUGCCGUGGGCGCUGGAGAACUGAGGGGGGCUGCUCCUAGUACGAGAGGACCGGAGUGGACGCAUCACUGGUGUUCGGGUUGUCAUGCCAAUGGCACUGCCCGGUAGCUAAAUGCGGAAGAGAUAAGUGCUGAAAGCAUCUAAGCACGAAACUUGCCCCGA
RNAcentral lists this ribosomal RNA (619 nucleotides) under Salmonella enterica. Its description in RNAcentral is "partial 23S ribosomal RNA". It matches the Rfam family "Bacterial large subunit ribosomal RNA", at positions 2184 to 2802 of the family's 2925-position model. The record is from RNAcentral. RNAcentral also lists the same sequence under 4 other names. Lineage: Bacteria; Pseudomonadati; Pseudomonadota; Gammaproteobacteria; Enterobacterales; Enterobacteriaceae.